CAAAUGCCAAAGGUGAGACAUGCUGGAAAAGCCUGAUAUGAAUGUGUAGACGUAAUUUUGGAAUUCAGAGGUGCAGCCGGUUGUUGGGAUUGCGCCAUCCAGGCAACGUGGAUAUUCUGCCAUGUACAUGAUAAACCGAGGAUUCUUCGUCAACAUGCAAGAUGUUACUCCCUGUAAACUACUGUUGGCAGAAAAGCUGAUACUUUGGGAAAACGGUUAUGGCAAGUGCGAUGACUAAAUCCCCAUAGGUCAGUUGUCUUGCUUUCACAAUUGCAACGAAGAUGAAUCAUGGAGUCAAAAACAUUAAAAGGUGGUACUAUUUUAAAUUUUUUAAUUGUUUUAAUUGUUUUAAUUGGUGUAUCGCUAAGUGCUGAUACAUGUGUAGAACAUGCUGGAAUUCAUGUCAUCCU
Long non-coding RNA from Daphnia carinata, 410 nucleotides. RefSeq lists it as uncharacterized. NCBI's taxonomy places the organism in Eukaryota, Metazoa, Arthropoda, Branchiopoda, Diplostraca, Daphniidae. The transcript has 3 exons. The record is from RefSeq and is a predicted model, not a curated record.